RNAcentral lists this ribosomal RNA (460 nucleotides) under uncultured bacterium. Its description in RNAcentral is "partial 16S ribosomal RNA". It matches the Rfam family "Bacterial small subunit ribosomal RNA", at positions 338 to 795 of the family's 1533-position model. The record is from RNAcentral.
CCUACGGGCGGCAGCAGUGAGGAAUAUUGGUCAAUGGGCGCGAGCCUGAACCAGCCAAGUAGCGUGAAGGAUGACUGCCCUACGGGUUGUAAACUUCUUUUAUAACGGAAUAAAGUGAGGCACGUGUGCCUUUUUGUCUGUAUUUUAUGAAUAAGGAUCGGCUAACUCCGUGCCAGCAGCCGCGGUAAUAAGGAGGAUCCGAGCGUUCUCCGGAUUUAUUGGGUUUAAAGGGAGCGUAGAUGGGUUGUUAAGUCAGUUGUGAAAGUUUGCGGAUAAACCAUAAAAUUGCAAUUGAUACUGGCAGCCUUGAGUACAGUUGAGGUAGGCGGAAUUCGUGGUGUAGCGGUGAAAUGCUUAGAUAUCACGAAGAACUCCGAUUGCGAAGGCAGCCUACUAAACUGCCACUGACAUUGAUGCUCGAAAGUGUGGGUAUCAAACAGGAUUAGAUACCCGAGUAGUC